Molecule: ribosomal RNA, 165 nt
Filed under: uncultured bacterium
Lineage: Bacteria
Description: partial 16S rRNA
Rfam family: Bacterial small subunit ribosomal RNA
Source: RNAcentral
UAGGGAAUCUUCCACAAUGGGCGCAAGCCUGAUGGAGCAACGCCGCGUGAGUGAAGAAGGUCUUCGGAUCGUAAAACUCUGUUGUUAGAGAAGAACAUGCAGGAGAGUAACUGUUCUUGUAUUUGACGGUAUCUAACCAGAAAGCCACGGCUAACUACGUGUCAG